GGUUUGGUAGUUCAGUUGGUGGAAUGUCUGCUUAACAUGCAGAAGGUCGUCGGUUCAAGUCCGGCCUAGAUAA
RNAcentral lists this transfer RNA (73 nucleotides) under Sphaerobolus stellatus SS14. RNAcentral describes it as "tRNA-Val (AAC) (tRNA-Val-AAC-19-1)". It matches the Rfam family "tRNA". Rfam says of the family: Transfer RNA (tRNA) molecules are approximately 80 nucleotides in length. Lineage: Eukaryota; Fungi; Basidiomycota; Agaricomycetes; Geastrales; Sphaerobolaceae. The record is from Rfam by way of RNAcentral.